RNAcentral lists this long non-coding RNA (857 nucleotides) under Sus scrofa (pig). RNAcentral's name for it is "lncRNA (ENSSSCG00070019176.1)". Lineage: Eukaryota; Metazoa; Chordata; Mammalia; Artiodactyla; Suidae. The record is from RNAcentral.
UAAAUUGAAAGAGACAGUGCAGUAAUCUCUUGGUUAACCACUUUGCCCCUGAAAGCUGAGCUGAUCCAGCCACCACCACCCUGUGCUAUGCUGUGGAAAGCAGGACGGGUGUGUGUGUGUGUGUGUGUGUGUGUGUGUGUGUGUGUGUAGGGUGCACAAACACCCUGCCAUCCUGAGACAGUUCAUCCUUCUGGAGGCAGGGACAGGGGGAGGAUACAGCAGAUGGGCAAGGUGCUGGGAGCCACACCACAGAGUGUUUGUGGCAGAAAUCAAUGGUGUUGGCUGCAGGGCGAGAACUGCAAGCAGAGCCCACGGAGAUGCAGUGACCGAGAACAUUCCUGAGGUUCUAAGGAGUCAGGAAAACAACUUGCAGAUCUGAAGAAGCUCAUGCAGGGAGCAGUGCCAUGUGAUGGACCAGGGCCAGAGCUAAAAGUGUGGCCCUAAGAAGAUAAAAGAAAAAGAAAGUGGAAAUGCUCAGCAAUGCCUUGGACGCCAGGAUGAAUUUAGGAAGAGGUCAGCUCAAAAGAGGCACAGGAGGAGGAACAAGGGGGAAGAGUGUCCAGAGAAAAAGAGGAGCCACCCCUGAGGAAGAGCCACCCCUUGCAGAGGGCCCCUCUGGGCCAGCAAGCGACUGGGAGAUUGGAGAACACAGAAAUUCAUCAAACCAAGUGUAUUCAGAAGGGCCUACCACCAACACGUGUACCCACAGGAGGUCAUACCGAGAGUCAAACAAGCCUUGUUCUCCGCAGGCAGGUGGACUCUGGCUAAGGGCAGCCCCGUGGGACCUUGCUGCCGCCCCGCGCUCCCCCAUCCCUCCGCCACCAGUGCCUCACACGCUGCUCGACCCCAUCCUCAGC